ACAGAGAGUACCAUAAUGGCUGUGGUUAACAGAUGUCUGAAGGUCCUCUUCAUUGGAAUAAACAUCAUACACAUAAUUUUAGCUGGUGUGAUUUUUACACUAGCUAUUAUGCUGGGCACUUACAUAACAAAUCAGUUUCAGGGCCAGGGACAAGAUGCGGGGCUUGGACUGAUACAAGCACCAAUCUGGCUACUGGGUUCAGGAGUCUUGGUGGUGGCUAGCCUUGGUAUCCAUGGUGCCAGAUAAGAGAAGAAGUGGCCCCUGAUCUCGGUGAGGAUAAUACAUUCACAUUUGCAUAUUGAUUUAGUAUCAUCAUCAUCAUCAUCAUCAUUAUCAUCCCAACAAAUGGAUUUCCUGCUACAAAUUUGUAUUCUACAUUGAAGAUGUGAAAUAAAUAUGCACAAUCUGUUGGUCAACCCUUG
Molecule: long non-coding RNA, 422 nt
Organism: Clupea harengus (Atlantic herring)
Lineage: Eukaryota; Metazoa; Chordata; Actinopteri; Clupeiformes; Clupeidae
Source: Ensembl